GUUGGCGGUAGCGAGGUCGCGCGCUGCCUUGGCGGCGGCGACUGCGGAUUUUGAUCGAAAUCCAUCUGUGUUUAAUUUUACGGCGGCGUCA
This 91-nucleotide transfer RNA is filed under the name Hyphococcus sp. RNAcentral describes it as "tRNA-Pro". Lineage: Bacteria; Pseudomonadati; Pseudomonadota; Alphaproteobacteria; Parvularculales; Parvularculaceae. The record is from RNAcentral.